This 446-nucleotide ribosomal RNA is filed under the name uncultured Oscillospiraceae bacterium. RNAcentral's name for it is "bacterial SSU rRNA". It matches the Rfam family "Bacterial small subunit ribosomal RNA", at positions 337 to 797 of the family's 1533-position model. Lineage: Bacteria; Bacillati; Bacillota; Clostridia; Eubacteriales; Oscillospiraceae. The record is from RNAcentral.
UCCUACGGGCGGCAGCAGUGGGGAAUAUUGCGCAAUGGGGGAAACCCUGACGCAGCAACGCCGCGUGAAGGAUGAAGGUUUUCGGAUCGUAAACUUCUUUGACAGGGGACGAAGAAAGUGACGGUACCCUGAUAACAAGCCACGGCUAACUACGUGCCAGCAGCCGCGGUAAUACGUAGGUGGCGAGCGUUGUCCGGAAUUACUGGGUGUAAAGGGCGUGUAGGUGGGAAUGCAAGUCAGAUGUGAAAUACCAUGGCUUAACUGUGGUGCUGCAUCUGAAACUGCGUUUCUUGAGUGCUGGAGAGGGAAGCGGAAUUCCAAGUGUAGCGGUGAAAUGCGUAGAUAUUUGGAGGAACACCAGUGGCGAAGGCGGCUUUCUGGACAGUAACUGACACUGAGGCGCGAAAGCGUGGGGAGCAAACAGGAUUAGAUACCCGUGUAGUCGA